UACGGGGGGGGCAAGCGUUGUCCGGAAUUAUUGGGCGUAAAGAGCUCGUAGGCGGUUUGUCGCGUCGAAUGUGAAAACCUGGGGCUCAACCCCGGGCCUGCAUUCGAUACGGGCAGACUAGAGUUCGGUAGGGGAGUCUGGAAUUCCUGGCGUAGCGGUGAAAUGCGCAGAUAUCAGGAGGAACACCGGUGGCGAAGGCGGGACUCUGGGCCGAUACUGACGCUGAGGAGCGAAAGCGUGGGGAGCGAACAGG
This 253-nucleotide ribosomal RNA is filed under the name uncultured bacterium. RNAcentral's name for it is "partial 16S ribosomal RNA". It matches the Rfam family "Bacterial small subunit ribosomal RNA", at positions 524 to 776 of the family's 1533-position model. The record is from RNAcentral.